RNAcentral lists this long non-coding RNA (412 nucleotides) under Nicotiana benthamiana. Its description in RNAcentral is "long non-coding RNA (NBEN_LNC006557)". The record is from RNAcentral. Lineage: Eukaryota; Viridiplantae; Streptophyta; Magnoliopsida; Solanales; Solanaceae.
CUAGGAUCACAAUGCGACAGUGUAGACCGGCCCUCCCUCAUCUCCACACGGGCCGAGCUGCCCGGUGCUUCCCCAAAAGCGGCUUCAGAGCCAGUCCUCUCAAUCUCCACAACCGCCUCAUUAACACUGAAGGAUGACUCGCCUCCUAAUGCACGAGCCAAAUUGGCGGCGGCAAUUUCUCUCUGAGAGACCAUUCGCCCACACGAAUGGCCUCGGCCAUAAAGGUCGACCUCGGCACUUGGCGAGGCUUACUGGGCCUCCUUACGCCCUCGACGACAAUGCCUUUGCCAGUAAUCAUACUCUGCCUCUUUUUCUCAGGCGGCUCCUCUCCUUCGGAAGCCACCUCCGCUAGAGCGACUUCAUGUGCCAGCAUGGGAAUGGUUUCUGGUGUCAUUGCUACUGCAGCCUCUAG